AGUCGAACGGCAGCGCGGGGCAACCUGGCGGCGAGUGGCGAACGGGUGAGUAAUAUAUCGGAACGUACCCUGGAGUGGGGGAUAACGUAGCGAAAGUUACGCUAAUACCGCAUACGAUCUAAGGAUGAAAGUGGGGGAUUCGCAAGAACCUCAUGCUCCUGGAGCGGCCGAUAUCUGAUUAGCUAGUUGGUGGGGUAAAGGCUCACCAAGGCUUCGAUCAGUAGCUGGUCUGAGAGGACGACCAGCCACACUGGAACUGAGACACGGUCCAGACUCCUACGGGAGGCAGCAGUGGGGAAUUUUGGACAAUGGGCGCAAGCCUGAUCCAGCAAUGCCGCGUGAGUGAAGAAGGCCUUCGGGUUGUAAAGCUCUUUUGUCAGGGAAGAAACGGUGAAGGCUAAUAUCCUUUGCUAAUGACGGUACCUGAAGAAUAAGCACCGGCUAACUACGUGCCAGCAGCCGCGGUAAUACGUAGGGUGCAAGCGUUAAUCGGAAUUACUGGGCGUAAAGCGUGCGCAGGCGGUUUUGUAAGUUUGUCGUGAAAGCCCCGGGCUCAACCUGGGAAUUGCGAUGAAGACUGCAAGGCUUGAAUCUGGCAGAGGGGGGUAGAAUUCCACGUGUAGCAGUGAAAUGCGUAGAGAUGUGGAGGAACACCGAUGGCGAAGGCAGCCCCCUGGGUCAAGAUUGACGCUCAUGCACGAAAGCGUGGGGAGCAAACAGGAUUAGAUACCCUGGUAGUCCACGCCCUAAACGAUGUCUACUAGUUGUCGGGUUUUAAUUAACUUGGUAACGCAGCUAACGCGUGAAGUAGACCGCCUGGGGAGUACGGUCGCAAGAUUAAAACUCAAAGGAAUUGAC
RNAcentral lists this ribosomal RNA (858 nucleotides) under uncultured bacterium. RNAcentral describes it as "bacterial SSU rRNA". It matches the Rfam family "Bacterial small subunit ribosomal RNA", at positions 60 to 914 of the family's 1533-position model. The record is from RNAcentral.